CUCGGCUGAAGUCUUGACAAACAAGUUCAAUCAGGUCAAACUGGGAACCUUGUAGAAAUAAUGUACUUUUUGGAUUUCCUUUUCUCUUGUGACUGGGACAUUUGUUCUCGUUCACCCUGGGGAGAAUGCAGCACUCGGUUGCACGACAUUUUUUUGAAGAAUCCUAUCUCAGAUGCUACCUGGCCUGCUGAGGUGCUUUGCAGGAUGUUCGAGAGAUCUACAGCCCAGACAAAGGCCCUUCUGCCUGACGAACCCACAUUAAGAUGCUGAAGAAGGGUCCCGACACAAGACGUCAGUGUUCCUGCUCCUCUGAUGCUGCCCGGCCUGCUGCGUGUCUCCAG
Long non-coding RNA from Stegostoma tigrinum, 341 nucleotides. RefSeq lists it as uncharacterized. The transcript is spliced from 3 exons. NCBI's taxonomy places the organism in Eukaryota, Metazoa, Chordata, Chondrichthyes, Orectolobiformes, Stegostomatidae. The record is from RefSeq and is a predicted model, not a curated record.